CAGAAGUUCUCCAUCAGAAACUGCAUGGGAGCAGGAGGAGGGCAGAAGGAGCAUGACAUUCCGAGCCGAGGCAGACCCGGUGAUGUUAAAGUGGCGUUGCUGACUCCACACGUGACAAUCCGACAAUCUGUACUGUGACGGUCUCAGCCGAGCAGACGAGAGGAGGCAUGAGAAACUCCCAUCCUCCCAUUGAAGAGUUUAUACGAGAACCUUCUCGUCCAUCACAGCCUGCGUUUCCUGGGAGGCAAAGUGCUUGGGGUUCCAGUCCGGAGAGAGAGAGAAAGAGCUGCUGCAUCGACCAAGGCUGCAGAAUCUCGGAGAGGUGGGCCUGACCACCUCCCCAGCCUACCACUCCCCUGCCCAGGCCCUGGGGGCUGAGUCAAGGAUGGGGGCGGGGGGUUGAAGUAAGAAUCUUAACAAUAAACAUGUGUUGACACUUA
Suricata suricatta (meerkat) is the source of this 440-nucleotide long non-coding RNA. RefSeq lists it as uncharacterized. The transcript is spliced from 2 exons. NCBI's taxonomy places the organism in Eukaryota, Metazoa, Chordata, Mammalia, Carnivora, Herpestidae. The record is from RefSeq and is a predicted model, not a curated record.